This is a long non-coding RNA of Dreissena polymorpha, 950 nucleotides long. RefSeq lists it as uncharacterized. The transcript has 3 exons. NCBI's taxonomy places the organism in Eukaryota, Metazoa, Mollusca, Bivalvia, Myida, Dreissenidae. The record is from RefSeq and is a predicted model, not a curated record.
AUAAAAAAUGUUUAGAAAGUACACAUUUCUACAUUUGGCCUAAUCAGCUGUUCUGGAGUAAUGACGUCACAUGUGUCAUCCACGAACUUACAUGAAUUAAAAUGGCAGUUCAUACUAAUGGAUGGUGUUUGUUAACUUGAAUUUGGAAGACAAGAUUACAAUUGAAUUUGAUUCUUUUUUAUUAUUCACACAGUGUAUAUUCAACAGGGUAAGACCGGACAUGCGGUCCGUUCCCAUGGUGCUACGGAGGUAUGUCUUCACCCGUCUCAUUGUAGAAAAAGACCUCUCCGCUGUUGCUGUCGAUACUUCCAUGCAGAGCAGAACGAGAAGACAACUUCGAGCAUUGGGUAGGAGUUUUCCGUCGCGGACGUAAGCGCCGACUCGAGGGUUUUGAAUGGCUCAGGAGAUGAAAUCUGCCACUUCGUCUUCCACCUUCUACACUCCCUGGAAAUUUAACAUCGUCAACCUCAAGUAGCCGUGAGUCUUCAUUCAUGUAGCAGAUGAUCCAUGAAGGGAAGGUACAUGUUCGUCUUCCAGUAUUGGGAUGGCGUAGCUCCUGGGGCAUUGGGAAUGUGACGAUGGCGACCGGCGUGUCUAGGCAUGGAUGGGUCGGUACCAAACUCAUCGGCAAGCGCUUCAAAUUUUUCAUAAAUUGCAUCCCUCACCAUCUCAUCUGCUCGUUCAGCCUAUAAAACACCCGCUUAUAUUGAUACAUAUUCAAAAGAUACACAUUCUUGCCACCAACAAGAUAUAUAUAAAAGCUAUGUAUGUUUAUAUGUUUCAGUGACAAUUCAACACAGUUUUUGAGGAUAAAGCUCUGAAUUUGAUUCUGUAUACAUAACUGCCAAGUCUGUAAAUGCACAAGUUCAGAGAUAUAAUCAUGCAUUAAAUGUAUAGGCGGGUUCGGGCGGGGGCGGACCGGUGUACAAAAAAGGCGAUUUUGAAUAUAG